This 404-nucleotide unclassified non-coding RNA is filed under the name uncultured fungus. Its description in RNAcentral is "sequence contains ITS2". The stretch from base 1 to 152 matches the Rfam family "5.8S ribosomal RNA". Lineage: Eukaryota; Fungi. The record is from RNAcentral.
AACUUUUAACAAUGGAUCUCUAGGCUCUUGCAUCGAUGAAGAACGCAGCAAAAUGCGAAACGUGAUGUGAUUUGCAUGAAUCUGUGAGUCAUCGAAUCUUUGAACGCGAAUGGCACUGUUACGUAAGUAGCAGUAUGUCUGUUUGAGAAUCGCAAACACGAUCAACUCUAGUUAGAGUGGGGAUUGAGCUCAUGCGCUGUUUAUAGCAGCAUUUGGUUUGAAUGAAUCAAGUUGAUGGGUUCCCCAGCAAUGCUAAAUGUGUGCUAGCGAGACAGUCGUCCCGAUCUCACAUUAGUGGUUUUGUUGCAGAGCUCUAAUCACGGCUUGUUUAAAUUUCUAUCUAUUACGAUCUCAAAUCAGGCAAGAUUACCCGCUGAACUUAAGCAUAUCAAUAAGCGGAGGCU